RNAcentral lists this ribosomal RNA (396 nucleotides) under uncultured bacterium. RNAcentral describes it as "partial 16S ribosomal RNA". It matches the Rfam family "Bacterial small subunit ribosomal RNA", at positions 523 to 918 of the family's 1533-position model. The record is from RNAcentral.
AUACGGAGGGUGCAAGCGUUAAUCGGAAUUACUGGGCGUAAAGCGCACGCAGGCGGUUUGUUAAGUCAGAUGUGAAAUCCCCGGGCUCAACCUGGGAACUGCAUCUGAUACUGGCAAGCUUGAGUCUCGUAGAGGGGGGUAGAAUUCCAGGUGUAGCGGUGAAAUGCGUAGAGAUCUGGAGGAAUACCGGUGGCGAAGGCGGCCCCCUGAACGAAGACUGACGCUCAGGUGCGAAAGCGUGGGGAGCAAACAGGAUUAGAUACCCUGGUAGUCCACGCCGUAAACGAUGUCGACUUGGAGGGUGUGCCCUUGAGGCGUGGCUUCCGGAGCUAACGCGUUAAGUCGACCGCCUGGGGAGUACGGCCGCAAGGUUAAAACUCAAAUGAAUUGACGGGG